Lolium perenne is the source of this 3178-nucleotide long non-coding RNA. RefSeq lists it as uncharacterized. The record is from RefSeq and is a predicted model, not a curated record. Lineage: Eukaryota; Viridiplantae; Streptophyta; Magnoliopsida; Poales; Poaceae.
AGCGGUUUCUUUCUUCGUUCCCCGUGAUGUCGCCAGCCCCAUCGCCCCCGUAUCCCUCCCGCCGUCGCCGCCCUACCGGCCCUUCCCGGCUCCCUCCGCAUCCCUCCCAGGCCGGAGACCGCCGAGCCUCUUAACUUUCACCCCUCACCAUCGCCGCCGUCGCGCUGCCUCCGUCCGGCACGAAAUCCAGCCCGCCGUUCUACAGCCGCCCCGCAUGAGCACCGAGAAAGCCUACACGCCCGCGCCAGCUGCCUCCUACACAUCUCCUGCUCCACAUCUUCCCUGUAGGCUGCAGUUCAAUGACGCGGUGCCGCACCACCUGAUGGGAUAGCGUAAAGUUGGUUCAUACUAUAUCUUCUCAUUACAUCAAUCAGUAUUCUAUAUUGCAGUCACAAAAAGAGUCAAUCUGUAUUGAGUUAGAAGGGACUCAUGAGUCAUGAUGAAGAAGAGUAUUAGCAACAAGAAGAUAGCGCAAGGCACCAGGGGUAGCAUUCCAAACCCAAGAUACAAAAAUGAAGAGGGGGAGCACGUGGGCGUGCGCACACACACACCGGGAUGCUAAGCCACACCAUCACACCACGCCCAGUUAUCCAGUUUGACCUUAACACUGCGGCAAAAGCUACUAGAGUGAGUACAUUUUCUCCUUUCAGAUAACCCUGAAGAAAUUAUUACUGGGACACUUGAUUCGGAGUCUGCACAUUCUACCUGAUGACAUGCAUUAGUGAAAACAAUAUGCUCGAUUGUUUAAUUGGUAAUGCUACUCUAGCAGAAAACUCCAAUUAUUAUUUUAUUCGAAAAUGCUAAUUUAACUUGUGAUGUUGUCAUAUUCGAAUACAGUCUGGACAUUUUUAUUCGAAAAUGCUGAUAUGUUUGAUAUAUUAGAAUUAGCAUAUGAAUGCAGUUUUUUCAUUUGUCCCAAAAUUUCAGAGAUGAUCCGUGAAACUUGUCUAAAACUCUCAAUUAGUUAAUUAUUUUGAACUCUGCAAUCUCUUGACAUUUAUGAACUUGUCUAAUGACUAAAUGUAGCCAGUUCUAGGAUAUGGUUAUGUCUCAAUUUAUCUGAAUUCUAAACAUGCAUGGUAGGAGUGUUUAUUGCUUAAAUAUGAUAUACCAUACAUGCUUUCUUGCUUCCCCAUAUUCAGUGGUAUUAGUUUUUGCAGGAUUUAGCUGCUUCUUGUGGUUCAAGAGUUGUUUUGUCUACAAUUGCUACAGCCCAUGGAAAGAUAGUCUAUGUACUGUUAUGUUUUAUUGACCUUAGAGGAAUAGUACAUCUAAGGGGAUCACCUAAGUGGAGAUGCAGAUGCACAAUCCUCACGUUUGCCCCAUUUGUUGGUCAAUCAUUACCAUUUUUUCCCUUUCAGUUGAUACAACACUUUAAUAAAGCUUUGUGUCACCAAGCUAUCGGACUGGUUCCAGCUAUAAGCAAAGAAUGGGAGAUAUGUAAGACCAUUAGCAUUCCUACUUCUCCUUGCCUAUAUCUAUGGCUGUAAAUAAGUUCUUUCUUGCACUUGAUAGCUAUAAAUAAGCUAGAUGGAUGGAAUAUUAGUUUCCUUUGUGUUUAAUUGAAUAUUGGAAUGAGACAACACUUGCAGGAUAAAAUAAUAAAAUUGAAAUUGAAAGCUUGCUUCUACUGAAAAAUAUAUGCUUUACUAAUUGUGUAAUGCACACCAAUUUCAGGGUAAGUUCUAGCCUGAAUUGAUAUAUCCACUCUUCACAAAAUACUGGGAAAUCCAAGUAUUUUAACAGCAAAGCUGGUUUCUCAGAUUGCUACGCGAAGUGUCCUUUUUUUUUCUUUUAAUACAUGCAUAUUCGCCGGUGGCUCAAUUCAAGAACAAUGCUCUACAACACUAUCGUGGUUGCUGGUGGACAAGUGGAGAAAGAGCUUACUCUGAAGCCGCAUUUUUUUCAUCGUUACGAAAUCUUCAGAAAAAGCAUCUCAUUAGAUAUCAUGUUUUUACAUGGUUACAAUGGAUGCAAAUUCAAUCAGGUGAUCAUGUAUGCACGAGUCGAGACAACGACGUCUAUAUGGUUGGUUCAUGUUGUUACAUAGCAUUAUUACAUAGAGAUCAAGAGCAGUUUCUUACUGGGGCAAUACAAAUAGGAAGAAAGGAAUAAAAUGUGUUUUGCCUCCAGUUUGGCCAUCGCCGGCGCUACAACAAUUGUUGUUUGGUAUUUUCACGCUUCUGGAGCAUCUAAAUCACGUGGAAUGUUUAUUUCUCUGCAGCAGUGAUAUGAAAAAAAAUGCUAGCAUUCACAGGUUGCACUAGAUCUCUCUGUCUCACCAAAAAUUAUGCUCUUUGUGCCAUGAAAACACUAUGUUCCCUGUACUAGAUCUGCUUUAAGCAUACUACCUAUAAAGUUAUCAGUGUGGUGAUGUAAUUAGUGGUUGCUUAGACAGAGAAAGAGAUAUUUACAUCUUUACUGUUUUUUACUGCACAUCUUUACUGUUUUACAUCAGAGUAAAUGGUUAUGUACUUGUCCUUACGAAGCAUGGACUAAUGCCCCUCCAGUUAUGCAUUUACACGACUGAUGCAUUAGUUAGUUUUUUACUACUUUGGUUAGGUUUUUAAUAAGUUUUGUUUAUAGCCAAAUGGUGUGGCUGACGAAUUAGUUAACUGGUACUUGUCCAGGAUAAUGGCCAGUGAUCUGUAUAUCCAUGGAAAAGCGAGGUUUUAUAAGUAUAUUUGCGGUUGGCCAGAUGCAGCAACUAACAUGUUUGGUUUUUUGGAGCUUCAGUUAAUGGUUUGCUAUAUGAAAUGAGAACACAUUCCUUGCUUAUCACACUUAAAAAGAUUUUCAGUCGCUUGUACUCUUGUGAAAUGCUAGGCCAUUAUAUAAUGCAAAAAAAAAAAAAAAAUGCACCGCUUCAUACAAUCUGCGAGACUGCAAUUUUUUGCUUGAAUGUAUGUGCCACAGCCAACACAUGCUGCUAUAGAAGACUCGAAGAAAGCUUAUAAGAAGCGGUCAAGCAGAGUAUAGUGGGAGCCUCCUAAAAGAGACUUGAGCAAAAUUAUUCCAUCAUUUGUAAAUAAUCUAUCAAGUGUGAUGAGCAGUAGUAGCAAGAUGAGUAACAAUGCUAAGAUAUAUUUUGUUUAGUUGACUCACUUGAAUUUUUUGUGACAUAAUUGGUAUUGUAAUUCAAUACUAGGAUUUAACAGUUUGAACAAUGUUCAUUGUC